This 636-nucleotide long non-coding RNA is filed under the name Vigna radiata. RNAcentral's name for it is "long non-coding RNA (VRAD_LNC003900)". Lineage: Eukaryota; Viridiplantae; Streptophyta; Magnoliopsida; Fabales; Fabaceae. The record is from RNAcentral.
UAUCGUAACCAGCAGGGUCUUAAGAGCUGCUACUGCUACAAGAUAGUCCUCAGGGAUGAUUCCAUUGUUGAGAGCCGUUUUAUGCAUGACAGAUUUGCAGUCAGCGAUUCUCCUGAAGCGCCACUGGUCAUAGCAACACCAAUGAAAGUUAGCUCUUUCAGCAUAUCUGGCAAGCGAUGAUACACAGCCAGUGAACAAUUGUUGCUCUCUUAGCUUAACUAAUAUCGUUUCAUAUAUUUCAUUUAAAGACUUUUCAGUUGUACGUAGGAUGUUUUCAAUUGUAGCUGAUAUUGAUGUCAUUUCGGAUAUACAGGAAAAGUGUUGAUUGUCCAGUUGUACCAGCAUGUUCAAUUGUAUAAUUUUUUAUCUCAAUAUCUUUUCCUUUUUACUCAUUUACCAGUUCCUUUUCAUUUAGCGCCUCAACAAGUGCUGGUAGAGCGAACAUGCCGAGCUUCCACCAUUAAUUUGCUUGUUUUGGCUUUACAUACACUAUGUCAAUUAAAACAUAAAAGGUAUGAAAAAUAAAUAAAAACAAACCUGGAUUGUACAAAUUGGGAAAGGCUCACACCUCUCUUUGCUCUUACGGAAGAAGCUGAAGUAAUUUAUGAUUUCUAGUGUGGUAAUCUGAAACGGAUG